CCCUUCGUGUUUUGNGACCCUCCCUUUUAGG
RNAcentral lists this non-coding RNA (31 nucleotides) under Homo sapiens (human). The record is from RNAcentral. Lineage: Eukaryota; Metazoa; Chordata; Mammalia; Primates; Hominidae.